Molecule: long non-coding RNA, 370 nt
Organism: Acanthopagrus latus (yellowfin seabream)
Lineage: Eukaryota; Metazoa; Chordata; Actinopteri; Spariformes; Sparidae
Exons: 2
Source: RefSeq, a predicted model, not a curated record
UACACACAGGCACAUGGAGACAUUAAUUGAUCCCGCUGCAGCAAAAGCCGGAAGAAAGGCUAGACACUGUGGAAGUUACCCCGUGGCCUCUACCCACACACAAAUGAAUAGGCUACUCAUAUAUUACAGCACCGCACACUUCAAUUAGGCAGCAGCUACGGCGGUUCAAGGACUGAGGCAUGGCAGAGGAUCUUCACAGAGGAGCAGGAGGCGUCGACGGAAGAGAGGUCUCCAGUGCCAUUCCACUCUGCUUUGCUUGUGUUCUCCUGAGUCCCUCCACGCUGGGUCUCUUCGACCCUCCUUCCCUGCCUGCUUACCUACCUGGCAUCCACCUUCCAGCACCAGUUUGUACAAUAAAUCUUCACUUCAC